Long non-coding RNA from Salvelinus fontinalis (brook trout), 670 nucleotides. RefSeq lists it as uncharacterized. The transcript has 3 exons. The record is from RefSeq and is a predicted model, not a curated record. Lineage: Eukaryota; Metazoa; Chordata; Actinopteri; Salmoniformes; Salmonidae.
CCUGAACAACCCUAGUGAUGGAAGCCUUGUUCUGCCCUGGCUGAGAGGUACACCCUGAACAACGCUAGUGAUGGAAGCCUUGUUCUGCCCUGGCUGAGAGGUACACCCUGAGCAACGCUAGUGAUGGAAGCCUUGUUCUGCCCUGGCUGAGAGUUACACCCUGAACAACGCUAGUGAUGGAAGCCUUGUUCUGCCCUGGCUGAGAGGUACACCCUGAACAACACUAGUGAUGGAAGCCUUGUUCUGCCCUGGCUGAGAGGUACACCCUGAACAACACUAGUGAUGGAAGCCUUGUUCUGCCCUGGCUGAGAGGUACACCCUGAACAACACUAGUGAUGGAAGCCUUGUUCUGCCCUGGCUGAGAGGUACACCCUGAACAACACUAGUGAUGGAAGCCUUGUUCUGCCCUGGCUGAGAGGUACACCCUGAACAACACUAGUGAUGGAAGCCUUGUUCUGCCCUGGCUGAGAGGUACACCCUGAACAACACUAGUGAUGGAAGCCUUGUUCUGCCCUGGCUGAGAGCUACACCCUGAACAACGCUAGUGAUGGAAGCCUUGUUCUGCCCUGGCUGAGAGGUACACCCUGAACAACGCUAGUGAUGGAAGCCUUGUUCUGCCCUGGCUGAGAGGUACACCCUGAGCAACGCUAGUGAUGGAAGCCUUGUUCUG